RNAcentral lists this ribosomal RNA (552 nucleotides) under Salmonella enterica. Its description in RNAcentral is "partial 23S ribosomal RNA". It matches the Rfam family "Bacterial large subunit ribosomal RNA", at positions 1 to 591 of the family's 2925-position model. RNAcentral also lists the same sequence under 1 other name. The record is from RNAcentral. Lineage: Bacteria; Pseudomonadati; Pseudomonadota; Gammaproteobacteria; Enterobacterales; Enterobacteriaceae.
GUUAAGCGACUAAGCGUACACGGUGGAUGCCCUGGCAGUCAGAGGCGAUGAAGGGCGUGCUAAUCUGCGAUAAGCGCCGGUAAGGUGAUAUGAACCGUUAUAACCGGCGAUACCCGAAUGGGGAAACCCAGUGUGACUCGUCACACUAUCAUUAACUGAAUCCAUAGGUUAAUGAGGCGAACCGGGGGAACUGAAACAUCUAAGUACCCCGAGGAAAAGAAAUCAACCGAGAUUCCCCCAGUAGCGGCGAGCGAACGGGGAGGAGCCCAGAGCCUGAAUCAGCAUGUGUGUUAGUGGAAGCGUCUGGAAAGGCGCGCGAUACAGGGUGACAGCCCCGUACACAAAAGCGCAUGUGCUGUGAGCUCGAUGAGUAGGGCGGGACACGUGGUAUCCUGUCUGAAUAUGGGGGGACCAUCCUCCAAGGCUAAAUACUCCUGACUGACCGAUAGUGAACCAGUACCGUGAGGGAAAGGCGAAAAGAACCCCGGCGAGGGGAGUGAAAAAGAACCUGAAACCGUGUACGUACAAGCAGUGGGAGCACAGGUUUACCUG